ACGGGAAUGCUCUAGUACGGCGAGUGAAGCAGCAAUAGCUCAAAUUUGAAAUCUGGCGUCUUCGGCGUCCGAGUUGUAAUUUGUAGAGGAUGCUUCUGWGUAACCACCGACCUAAGUUCCUUGGAACAGGACGUCAUAGAGGGUGAGAAUCCCGUAUGCGGUCGGAAAGGUGCUCUAUACGUAGCUCCUUCGACGAGUCGAGUUGUUUGGGAAUGCAGCUCUAAAUGGGAGGUAAAUUUCUUCUAAAGCUAAAUAUUGGCCAGAGACCGAUAGCGCACAAGUAGAGUGAUCGAAAGAUGAAAAGCACUUUGGAAAGAGAGUUAAAAAGCACGUGAAAUUGUUAAAAGGGAAGGGAUUGCAACCAGACUUGCUCGCGGUGUUCCGCCGGUCUUCUGACCGGUCUACUCGCCGCGUUGCAGGCCAGCAUCGUCUGGUGCCGCUGGAUAAGACUUGAGGAAUGUAGCUCCCUCGGGAGUGUUAUAGCCUCUUGUGAUGCAGCGAGCGCCGGGCGAGGUCCGCGCUUCGGCUAGGAUGCUGGCGUAAUGGUCGUAAUCCGCCCGUCUUA
RNAcentral lists this ribosomal RNA (565 nucleotides) under Cladosporium sp. Its description in RNAcentral is "LSU rRNA". It matches the Rfam family "Eukaryotic large subunit ribosomal RNA", at positions 69 to 656 of the family's 3401-position model. The record is from RNAcentral. Lineage: Eukaryota; Fungi; Ascomycota; Dothideomycetes; Cladosporiales; Cladosporiaceae.